GACGAACGCUGGCGGCGUGCCUAACACAUGCAAGUUGAGCGACGAACCGGGGCUUGCCCCGGGGCAAAGCAGCGAACGGGUGAGUAACACGUGGGUAACCUACCCCGAUGACCGGGACAACCCGAGGAAACUCGGGCUAAUACCGGAUGUGCUUACUAGACAUCAGUCAAAGUAAAGUAAAGAAAGCUUCGGCCUUCGUAGUCGGGAGGGGCCCGGCGGCCCGACUUAGUUAGUUGGUGAGGUAACGGCUC
Molecule: ribosomal RNA, 251 nt
Filed under: uncultured bacterium
Lineage: Bacteria
Description: partial 16S ribosomal RNA
Rfam family: Bacterial small subunit ribosomal RNA
Source: RNAcentral